AUACGUAGGUGACAAGCGUUAUCCGGAUUUACUGGGCGUAAAGGGCGUGUAGGCGGUCUUGCAAGUCAGAAGUGAAAUUCCUGAGCUCAACUCGGGCGCUGCUUCUGAAACUGCAGGACUUGAGUGCUGGAGGGGAUAGCGGAAUUCCUAGUGGAGCGGUAAAAUGCGCAGAUAUUAGGAAGAACACCGGUGGCGAAGGCGGCUAUCUGGACAGUAACGGACGCUGAGGCGCGAAAGCGUGGGGAGAAAACAGGAUUAAAUGCCCUGGUAGUCCACGCCGUAAACGAUGAAUACUAGGUGGAGGGGGUAUCGACCCCCUCUGUGCCGCAGGUAACACAAUAAGUAGUCCGCCUGGGGAGUACGGCCGCAAGGUUGAAACUCAAAUGAAUUGACGGGG
This 397-nucleotide ribosomal RNA is filed under the name uncultured bacterium. Its description in RNAcentral is "partial 16S ribosomal RNA". It matches the Rfam family "Bacterial small subunit ribosomal RNA", at positions 523 to 918 of the family's 1533-position model. The record is from RNAcentral.